Molecule: ribosomal RNA, 440 nt
Filed under: uncultured bacterium
Lineage: Bacteria
Description: partial 16S ribosomal RNA
Rfam family: Bacterial small subunit ribosomal RNA
Source: RNAcentral
CCUACGGGAGGCAGCAGUGGGGAAUAUUGCACAAUGGGGGAAACCCUGAUGCAGCGACGCCGCGUGAGCGAUGAAGUAUUUCGGUAUGUAAAGCCCUAUCAGCAGGGAAGAAAAUGACGGUACCUGACCAAGAAGCCCCGGCUAACUACGUGCCAGCAGCCGUGGUAAUACGUUGGGGGCCAGCGUUAUCCGGAUUUACCGGGUGUUAAGGGGGCGUAGACGGCUGUGCAAGCCAGAUGUGAAAGCCCGGGGCCCAACCCCGGGACUGCAUUUGGAACUGUGGGGCUGGAGUGUCGGAGAGGCAGGCGGAAUUCGUGGUGUAGCGGUGAAAUGCGUAGAUAUUAGGAAGAACACCAGUGGCGAAGGCAGCCUGCUGGACGAAGACUGACGUUGAGGCUCGAAAGCGUGGGGAGCAAACAGGAUUAGAUACCCGAGUAGUC